This 248-nucleotide ribosomal RNA is filed under the name uncultured bacterium. RNAcentral's name for it is "partial 16S ribosomal RNA". It matches the Rfam family "Bacterial small subunit ribosomal RNA", at positions 57 to 305 of the family's 1533-position model. The record is from RNAcentral.
GCAAGUCGAACGAUGAAGCCUAGCUUGCUAGUUGCUGACGAGUGGCGGACGGGUGAGUAAUGUAUAGGAACUUGCCUAGUAGUGGGGGACAACGUGUGGAAACGCACGCUAAUACCGCAUACGCUCUACGGAGGAAAGCAGGGGAUCUUCGGACCUUGCGCUACUAGAUGGGCCUAUAUUGGAUUAGCUAGUUGGUAAGGUAAGAGCUUACCAAGGCGACGAUCCAUAGCUGGUUUGAGAGAAUGAUC